UUGAUAAUGUCUGGAAUGGAGUAAAUGGAAUCUAUCAAACACGUUGAUACCAUUCAAUUGACUCCAUUCCAGCCAUUAUUAUGAGUCGUCCUUCCCUCAGCAGCCUCCUCUGAUAUAUGUUGAGGUGUCUAGCUAUAAGUUAAACCUGAUCAAUCAAUCACUAGACAGCCACAGAGAGAGGGGGGGGGGAUUGAGAAAGGAUGAAAGAGAGAGGUGGGAAGAGGGUGGAAGACAGGCAGGGAGAGAGAAACAGAGAGGGAAAGACAGCAGUGUAAAUGUACUUAGACUUGAGUAUUUCAGCAUCUCUUCCAACUUGUUAGGUAAUCAUAUCUACCUACGGGGGAAGGAUGGCCAGCCACACAGGAGGGUGAUUUUUGUUAAGGAGGAGAAGGAGGCCGUGCUGACUGUGAUGCUUGCUGGCCAAUUCGGAGUGAAGCGCCUGAUUGCCAAAAUCAACCUACGCUUCUUCUGACAGGGAAUUGUCAAGGAGGUGGACAGCUGGGUCAGUACCUGUCCAGCCUUCCAGAAGUUUGAGAGGGCGAAGACUGUGGCGCCGGAGUUGAAGCACGUCAAAGUUGUUUUACCAUGGCACAUGAUCGGUGAGACUGAACAUGGACAAGGCGCAGGAGAAACAGAAGGAGAGCUACCGGAGCAGAGUCAAGAAGGGGACCAAGUGCUACGACAUCCGGGCAAAUGACUUGGUUUGGAAGAAGAACGAAAGGAAGGCAGAGACCUUGAAAACCUCGCUGCUCCUAGCUGUGGUCACGAUCUGUUAAAGGUUACCUAGGGUUACCUAAGGUUACCUAGGAAGCUAACCAUCUUCUGCAGUUGGACGGUCUACCACUGGAAGCAUUGACGCCCUACACUUCAGUGAAGCCCAAUUUACAAAGGAGGUUAAGCUUUGGUUGACAUUUGAGAAAGCAAGAAAUGGUUGUUAUACUAAGCUUACAAAAAUGUACCUCUUCAAUUUACCUCUCCAAAUGACUUUAGGACCAUCGACUGUCCGAGCCCCCCAGGAGGUAUCCCAUCUACCAGAACCAGUGAGUUCGGAUCAGUCUGAUUCUCUGUGCUCUGAGUCGGAGGGGGACUAGCUUGAGGUAGGCUACACCUUCCAAAAGUUUUGAAAAGUAC
This is a long non-coding RNA of Oncorhynchus tshawytscha (Chinook salmon), 1131 nucleotides long. The record is from Ensembl. Lineage: Eukaryota; Metazoa; Chordata; Actinopteri; Salmoniformes; Salmonidae.